This 24-nucleotide ribosomal RNA is filed under the name Phomopsis cf. phyllanthicola MY-2011. RNAcentral describes it as "partial 18S small subunit ribosomal RNA". The record is from RNAcentral. Lineage: Eukaryota; Fungi; Ascomycota; Sordariomycetes; Diaporthales; Diaporthaceae.
AAACCCAGGCGGAAGGGAUUCAUU